This 465-nucleotide ribosomal RNA is filed under the name uncultured bacterium. RNAcentral describes it as "partial 16S ribosomal RNA". It matches the Rfam family "Bacterial small subunit ribosomal RNA", at positions 338 to 795 of the family's 1533-position model. The record is from RNAcentral.
CCUACGGGUGGCAGCAGUAGGGAAUCUUCCUCAAUGGGCGCAAGCCUGAUGCAGCAACACCGCGUGAGUGAAGACGGGUUUCGGCUCGUAAAGCUCUGUUUUUGGAGAAGAACGUGCGUGAGCGUAACUGUUCACGCAGUGACGGUAUCCAACAAGAAAGUCACGGCUAACUACGUGCCAGCAGCCGCGGCAAUACGUAGGUGGCAAGCGUUAUCCGGAUGUAUUGGGCUUAAAGCGAGCGCAGGCGGUUGCUUAGGUCUGAUGUGAAAGCCUUCGGCUUAACAGAAGAAGUGCAUCGGAAAACGGGAGACUUGAGUGCAGAAGAGGACAGUGGAACUCCAUGUGUAGCGGUGGAAUGCGUAGAUAUAUGGAAGAACACCAGUGGCGAAGGCGGCUGUCUGGUCUGCAACUGACGCUGAGGCUCGAAAGCAUGGGUAGCGAACAGGAUUAGAUACCCUAGUAGUC